UAGGGAAUAUUGCACAAUGGGGAACCGUAGCAUGCAGCGACGCCGCGUGAAGGAAGAAGUAUCUCGGUAUGUAAACUUCUAUCAGCAGGGAAGACAAUGACGGUACCUGACUAAGAAGCCCGGCUAACUACGUGCCAGCCAGCCGCGGUGAAUAACGUAGGGGCAAGCGGGUUAAUUCCGGAUUUACUGGGUGUAAAGGGAGCGUAGACGGAUCUGCAAGUCUGGAGUGAAAGCCCGGGGCUCAACCCGGACGUGCUUUGGAAACUGUGGAUCUAGAGUGCCGGAGAGGUAAGCGGAAUUCCUAGUGUAGCGGUGAAAUGCGUAGAUAUUAGGAGGAACACCAGUGGCGAAGGCGGCUUUACUUGGACGGUAACUGACGUUGAGGCUCGAAAGCGUGGGGAGCAAACA
This 408-nucleotide ribosomal RNA is filed under the name uncultured Lachnospiraceae bacterium. RNAcentral describes it as "bacterial SSU rRNA". It matches the Rfam family "Bacterial small subunit ribosomal RNA", at positions 355 to 774 of the family's 1533-position model. Lineage: Bacteria; Bacillati; Bacillota; Clostridia; Lachnospirales; Lachnospiraceae. The record is from RNAcentral.